CUUCUUGUUUAUCUCCAACCAC
This 22-nucleotide non-coding RNA is filed under the name Arabidopsis thaliana (thale cress). The record is from RNAcentral. Lineage: Eukaryota; Viridiplantae; Streptophyta; Magnoliopsida; Brassicales; Brassicaceae.